RNAcentral lists this transfer RNA (82 nucleotides) under Echinostoma caproni. It matches the Rfam family "tRNA". Rfam says of the family: Transfer RNA (tRNA) molecules are approximately 80 nucleotides in length. The record is from Rfam by way of RNAcentral. Lineage: Eukaryota; Metazoa; Platyhelminthes; Trematoda; Plagiorchiida; Echinostomatidae.
GGCCUCGUAGCUCAGCUGGUAGAGCGUGCGCGUACACCGCGCAGAUGGCGUCCAUGCGUGGGUUCGAAUCCCACCGAGGCUA